Molecule: ribosomal RNA, 253 nt
Filed under: uncultured bacterium
Lineage: Bacteria
Description: partial 16S ribosomal RNA
Rfam family: Bacterial small subunit ribosomal RNA
Source: RNAcentral
UACGGAGGGGGCUAGCGUUGUUCGGAGUUACUUGGCGUAAAGCGCACGUAGGCGGGUCGCUAAGUCGGGGGUGCAAUACUGGGGCUCAACCUCAGAACUGCCUUUGAUACUGGCGGCCUUGAGUACGGGAGAGGUGAGUGGAAUUCCCAGUGUAGAGGUGAAAUUCGUAGAUAUUGGGAAGAACACCAGUGGCGAAGGCGCCUCACUGGCCCGUAACUGACGCUGAGGUGCGAAAGCGUGGGGAGCAAAGAGG